RNAcentral lists this ribosomal RNA (1368 nucleotides) under Triticum aestivum (bread wheat). RNAcentral's name for it is "partial small subunit ribosomal RNA". The record is from RNAcentral. Lineage: Eukaryota; Viridiplantae; Streptophyta; Magnoliopsida; Poales; Poaceae.
AUGAACCCCCUCAAGAACUCGCGCUCCGCCCUCUCCCGUCUCCUCCGCCACAAGCCCGCCGCCGUCCGGCCGCAGCCCCCGCCCCCGCCCCCGCCGGUGGUGCGGGAAACGGCCGCUCGGCACUACCACGCCGCCCCGCGCCGCCCAGGGUUCAUUCAGUCCUUCAGCCGAGGGCCCCUCCGCCACGAGCCCGCCGCCCUCUUCCGGCCGCCGCCGGCGCAGGCGCAGGUGCCUCCUCCCCGGCACUACUUCACCUCCUCCCGCCGCCCGGAGGUCAUCCACUUCGCGCGCCGCCGCGGCGGGGCGCGGUGGUACCACGACAGGCGGAAGGUCGCCGCGGUGGUCCUCCUCGCCGGCGGCGGGACCAUCGUCGUCUACUUCGGCAACCUCGAGACCGUGCCCUACACCAACCGCACCCACUUCGUCCUCGUCUCGCCCCAGCUCGAGCGCCAGCUCGGCGAGUCCCAGUUCGCCGAUCUCAAGAAGGAGCUCGCCCCCAAGAUCCUGCCCCCGCUCCACCCCGACAGCGUCCGCGUCCGCCUCAUCGCCUCCGAGAUCGUCCGCGCGCUCCACCGCGGCCUCGCCGACCGCCGCAGUGACGACUUCGAUGACGCCUCCUACGGCGACAUCUCCACCGACAUCGCCGUCAAGGCCCGCGACUUGGAUGCCGAGGACGUGAUGCACCGGGUCUCGCCUGGCAAGACCGCGGGCACGGCCGCGAGGGCUCAGCGAGACGACGAGCUUCUCGAUGACAGGUGGGUCGCCGAGAGCCGUAGACGGGGGAAGGCACGCGGAGCGCAGCCACAGACGAAGCACCUCAAUGAGCUCAAUUGGGAGGUGAUCGUCGUCAGAGAUAAGCUCAUCAAUGCAAUGUGCUUGCCCGGUGGUAAAAUUGUAGUCUUCACUGGAUUGCUCGACCAUUUCAAGACGGAUGCUGAGAUUGCGACAGUGCUUUCGCAUGAGAUUGGGCACGCUAUCGCGAGGCACUUGCCAGAGAUGAUCACCAAGGGCAUGUGGUUUACUAUCCUGCAGCUUAUCGUCCUACAGUUUAUUUACAUGCCAGACUUAAUUAAUGCAAUGUCGACUUUACUCCUCAGACUGCCCUUCUCACGAAGGAUGGAGGUAGAGGCAGAUCACAUCGGGCUCAUGCUUCAAGCUUCUGCUGGUUUCGACCCACGCACAGCUCCCAAGGUCUACGAGAAGCUAGGACAAAUCGCGGGCAAUCAGUCAGUACUGAAAAGCUACCUCUCUACUCAUCCUUCGAGUAAGAAGCGGUCCGAGCUCUUGUCUCGAGCCAAGGUAAUGGAGGAGGCGAUGCAGCUAUACAGGGAAGCUUGCGCCGGCCACGGGACCGAAGGUUUCCUGUAG